RNAcentral lists this transfer RNA (87 nucleotides) under Tissierellia bacterium. RNAcentral describes it as "tRNA-Leu". It matches the Rfam family "tRNA". Rfam says of the family: Transfer RNA (tRNA) molecules are approximately 80 nucleotides in length. Their secondary structure includes four short double-helical elements and three loops (D, anti-codon, and T loops). Lineage: Bacteria; Bacillati; Bacillota; Tissierellia. The record is from RNAcentral.
GCCGGCGUGUCGGAACCGGCAGACGAGACAGACUCAAAAUCUGUUGUCCGCAAGGGCGUGUGGGUUCGAGUCCCACCGCCGGCACCA